RNAcentral lists this ribosomal RNA (800 nucleotides) under Aeromonas media. RNAcentral describes it as "bacterial SSU rRNA". It matches the Rfam family "Bacterial small subunit ribosomal RNA", at positions 56 to 850 of the family's 1533-position model. The record is from RNAcentral. Lineage: Bacteria; Pseudomonadati; Pseudomonadota; Gammaproteobacteria; Aeromonadales; Aeromonadaceae.
UGCAAGUCGAGCGGGGAGAGGUAGCUUGCUACCUUACCUAGCGGCGGACGGGUGAGUAAUGCUUAGGAAUCUGCCUAUUAGUGGGGGACAACAUUCCGAAAGGAAUGCUAAUACCGCAUACGCCCUACGGGGGAAAGCAGGGGAUCUUCGGACCUUGCGCUAAUAGAUGAGCCUAAGUCAGAUUAGCUAGUUGGUGGGGUAAAGGCCUACCAAGGCGACGAUCUGUAGCGGGUCUGAGAGGAUGAUCCGCCACACUGGGACUGAGACACGGCCCAGACUCCUACGGGAGGCAGCAGUGGGGAAUAUUGGACAAUGGGCGAAAGCCUGAUCCAGCCAUGCCGCGUGUGUGAAGAAGGCCUUUUGGUUGUAAAGCACUUUAAGCGAGGAGGAGGCUACUUGGAUUAAUACUCUAGGAUAGUGGACGUUACUCGCAGAAUAAGCACCGGCUAACUCUGUGCCAGCAGCCGCGGUAAUACAGAGGGUGCGAGCGUUAAUCGGAUUUACUGGGCGUAAAGCGUGCGUAGGCGGCUUUUUAAGUCGGAUGUGAAAUCCCUGAGCUUAACUUAGGAAUUGCAUUCGAUACUGGGAAGCUAGAGUAUGGGAGAGGAUGGUAGAAUUCCAGGUGUAGCGGUGAAAUGCGUAGAGAUCUGGAGGAAUACCGAUGGCGAAGGCAGCCAUCUGGCCUAAUACUGACGCUGAGGUACGAAAGCAUGGGGAGCAAACAGGAUUAGAUACCCUGGUAGUCCAUGCCGUAAACGAUGUCUACUAGCCGUUGGGGCCUUUGAGGCUUUAGUGGCGCA